RNAcentral lists this ribosomal RNA (349 nucleotides) under Stylocellus sp. Bukit Larut. RNAcentral's name for it is "eukaryotic LSU rRNA". It matches the Rfam family "Eukaryotic large subunit ribosomal RNA", at positions 643 to 965 of the family's 3401-position model. The record is from RNAcentral. Lineage: Eukaryota; Metazoa; Arthropoda; Arachnida; Opiliones; Stylocellidae.
UUUGACCCGUCUUGAAACACGGACCAAGGAGUCUAACAUGUGCGCGAGUCAUUGGGUCUUGCUCAGGCCCAAAGGCGCAAUGAAAGUGAAGGCCGGCUCGGUCGGCUGCGUUGGGAUCCCGCCCUCUACGGCGGGCGCACCAACGGCCCGUCCCAGUCGCUGCGUCGACGGGGCGGAGUGAGAGCGUACACGUUGGGACCCGAAAGAUGGUGAACUAUGCCUGGGCAGGACGAAGCCAGAGGAAACUCUGGUGGAGGUCCGCAGCGAUUCUGACGUGCAAAUCGAUCGUCAGACCUGGGUAUAGGGGCGAAAGACUAAUCGAACCAUCUAGUAGCUGGUUCCUUCCGAA